GGAAAAUGAAAGUAAUUGGAAGUGGAGUGUUUUGGGAGAACUAGGUAAAAAGAAAUAUCAAAGAAAAAGUUCAAGUUUUAUAGAAUCUUCCAGCCAUGCCAAACCUCCUAAAAUCAUGUGGAUGAGCCAGGUCAAAUGAAGGGUGUUAGUGCUGGAAAGAAAAUGUCCCAAUUUUUUCUGUCAUAAUAAACUCACUAUCUGUUUUGACCCCCAUAAAUUUUCACUCAAUCUAUUUCUGGCUUUCCACCUAAUUUAUAGGCUCCUCCAAAAAGCCCAAAUCAUGAGAGUUCACAGUUCAGAUCCAAACAGAGACUGAGAAGUUCAGAAUUGACCUCUUUGUCUGUCCUCACAGAGAAGGUUGAGGAGGAAAAUACAACUUGAGUAUUUUGGUACUUUAGAAGAAAGUGUUGAAUAUGCAGCCGGGAGGGCUCACGGAUUUAAUCCCUUUUCCCUUCUGUAGGAUCUAAGAAAAACAAAAUAAGCUUGACUUGAAGCAAGUGAAUAAAUGAAUUUACAAAGGAUAAUCUAAUUUGUGUCUUGGACUGCCAGCAAUUAUGAAUGUUUAUUAACUCGUCUGUCUGACUUUUGGAAGAGAAGAGUGCAAGAAUCCCUGGAGCAACCCAACUCACACAGAGUAGUGAAAAAUAAAAAAUAAUAAAAAAAAAAAACAACUCACACAGAAUGCUACACUUCCAGUGUACCUGUUGGGCUUAAUGUGGUCUGAAUUGAACAAAACUUAUAGUCACAGUAUUUGUAUUGACUGCUCAGGAACCACUACCAUGAGCAAAGCAAUAUCAAAAAUGACUGGAUGUUCUAUCCUGCUGAGAUAAAAAACAGGUGGCCAAAGCCCAAUCCAGCAGCAGACUAAAGCAUAUUGCAGUGAGGUUUCUCUCCACAUCAGCAAGUUUGAGGACACAGUGCUUUUCAGCUGUUUUCUUCAGGUGGCUAUACAUUCUGAGUAUGUGUUAUGGCAUAUCACUUGUUUUAUUUCCACUGUCUCAUUUCUAAUCCCCCUUCUUGACUCUUUACAGAGACUGAGCUCUUCCAUUGAUGCAAAGGACAAUUUAAUCUGGAAACUCACCAGUCCCAGUGCCUGUGCCUCCUCUAUUUCUUCUGAACCCUUCCUCUACUGAAACAUUAUCACCACUUCUCUCUGAACUUUCUAUCAAGACCAGCUUGCCUACAUCUUUUCUGUAAAUCCAAGUACUCACUGUAAGUAGCCUGUAAGGAGCUAUAGAGCUCAUGCAACUACAAUAAGAUGUAAAAGAUUUGUUUUUUCUACCUUUCCCAAUGUGCACAUCCACCUUCCCUGACUAGCUUCUCAGAAAACUUUAAUCAAUGUUUUCAUUACUCAAACACAUUUAUAUGUCCCCAUAGUUAACGAUGCUAGUAGAAUGAACAGAACUGCUGCAAUAAUACGUGUUAUUAAUAGAGAGCAGAGUAAGUCAAAUGCAGUUACUGAAGUAGUUAUUAGGAUGAUUAGUGGAGGUAGAGUUGAUUUUGCUUACAGUACAAGUUUGCCUUUGACAUUUCUCAGUGCAUAGUCUGUCUUUCAAGAUCAAAUCUGGUGAUGCAUUGCAACAAUGACAAUAAAGGCCCUGUUACCACUGUAGAAUCA
This is a long non-coding RNA of Phasianus colchicus (ring-necked pheasant), 1618 nucleotides long. Lineage: Eukaryota; Metazoa; Chordata; Aves; Galliformes; Phasianidae. The record is from Ensembl.